GGCUUCAAAAUUGGUGGCAUGUUCCAGAAUCCUUUCUUUCAGAGCUACAAGAAGUGGAAUUUCAGGCUCCUCUUCAUUUGUUAUCUGUUUGUAUAACUGAUCGGAGUCGGUGAAAGCUCGAAUACAGCGGAUGCCAUUCUGCAUGGCCUCCACCAGACCAUCCAUUAGAGCUAAAUAAUCAGCAACUAACUCAUCAACAUAAAAAUCAAGCUUUUUCUGG
Molecule: unclassified non-coding RNA, 220 nt
Filed under: Hevea brasiliensis (rubber tree)
Lineage: Eukaryota; Viridiplantae; Streptophyta; Magnoliopsida; Malpighiales; Euphorbiaceae
Source: RNAcentral